This 472-nucleotide long non-coding RNA is filed under the name Calidris pugnax (ruff). RNAcentral's name for it is "lncRNA (ENSCPUG00000011195.1)". Lineage: Eukaryota; Metazoa; Chordata; Aves; Charadriiformes; Scolopacidae. The record is from RNAcentral.
AUAUUUAUCAUGGAGCAAUAUUCAGGGUCUGGAUUGUGAGUUCCUGCUGUGAAGUACAACGAAUGUAAUAUCUAGAAAACGAGAGAGCAGAUGUAGUUGGGUUGUACAAUCCAAUGCUACAUCCAUCACACUGUGAAAAGAAUAACUGCGGAUCCUGAAAGAUAAGAAUAUAUGGAGCAGAAAUGGUGCAAAUUUUCACUGGAUUGAAAAGAAAUGCACAAUUCCGCAACCUAUGAUAAAUCAUGGUGAAGUAGAAGACCCUUUGGGUCAAUAUCUGGUUUGUGUGCUUAUUGCCAGCCAAGGACCAAGUUUCUCUGCCACAGCACGAAGGAGAGAAGGAAAGAUGGAAGUUGGUGAAAUAAAAAUUUCAGUAGCAGUGAGAAAACUGUUACAAAACGUAAGAGUUCUUUUUUUUUUUUUUUAACUUUUUUCAAGUUGAGUGCAAUUCUACAGCAUUCAGAAAGGCAAAGAG